This 467-nucleotide ribosomal RNA is filed under the name uncultured bacterium. RNAcentral describes it as "partial 16S ribosomal RNA". It matches the Rfam family "Bacterial small subunit ribosomal RNA", at positions 28 to 507 of the family's 1533-position model. The record is from RNAcentral.
GAUGAACGCUGGCGGCGUGCUUAACACAUGCAAGUCGAACGGAAAGGCCCAAGCUUGCUUGGGUACUCGAGUGGCGAACGGGUGAGUAACACGUGGGUGAUCUGCCCUGCACUUCGGGAUAAGCCUGGGAAACUGGGUCUAAUACCGGAUAGGACCACUUCUAGGACGUUGUGGUGGAAAGUUUUAUCGGUGUGGGAUGAGCUCGAGGCGUAUCAGCUUGUUGGUGGGGUAAUGGCCUACCAAGGCGUCGCCGGGUAGCCGGCCUGUGAGGGUGUACGGCGGCACUGACUCUGAGGGGCGGCAGCGGCUCCUACUCGAGGCAGCAGUGCGGAAGAUUGCACGAGCAGCGCCGGCCUGAUGCUGCGGCGCCGCGUGGGGGAUGACGCCGUUCGUGUUGUAGACUACUUGCGCUAGUGACGAUGCGUUUUGUGACGGUACCUGGAGAGGAAGCCCCGGCUAACUACGUG